AGAGUUUGAUCCUGGCUCAGAUUGAACGCUGGCGGCAUGGCUAAAACAUGCAAGUCGAACGAUGAAAACCCCUUCGGGGGUAUAUGAAGUGGCGAAAGGACUAGGAAUACAUUCCUACGUGCCUCUAGGUCGAGGAUAGCCCUGGGAAACUGGGAGUAAUACUCGAUGAUGUCUCCGGACCAAAGCCUUCGGGCGCCAAGAGAGCGGGGAAUGUCCUAUCAGGUUGUUGGUGAGGUAACGGCUCACCAAGCCAAAGACGGGUAGCGGGUGUGAGAGCAUGAUCCGCAGUAUCGGGACUGAGACACUGCCCGGACUCCUACGGGAGGCUGCAGUAACGAAUAUUCCGCAAUGCGCGAAAGCGUGACGGAGCAAUGCCGCGUGUGGGAUGAAGCUUUUCGGAGUGUAAACCACUGUCAGGGUUUAGGAACACAAUGACCAGAUCCAAAGGAAGGGCCGGCUAACUUCGUGCCAGCAGCCGCGGUAAUACGAAGGGCCCGAGCGUUAAUCAGAAUCACUGGGCUUAAAGCGUGUGUAGGCGGACAUGAAGGCGCUUUGUGAAAUCCCUCGGCUCAACCGAGGAACUGCAGGGCGAACCAUGUGUCUUGAGACAGGUAGGGGUCGUCGGAACGGUAGGUGGAGUGGUGAAAUGCGUUGAUAUCUACCGGAACGCCGAAGGAGAAGUCAGGCGACUGGGCCUGUUCUGACGCUGAGACACGAAAGCGUGGGGAGCGAACGGGAUUAGAUACCCCGGUAGUCCACGCCAUAAACGAUGUGCACUAGGUUGGGGAGGUUUUGACGCCGUUCCCGGCCGAAGCAAAAGUGUUAAGUGCACCGCCUGGGAGUACGGUCGCAAGGCUAAAACUCAAAGGAAUUGACGGGAGCUCACACAAGCGGUGGAGCAUGUGGCUUAAUUCGAUGCAACGCGAAGAACCUUAUCCUGGGUUUGACAUGUAUGGAUUGACUCCCUGAAAGGGGAGCCACGCCCUUGUGGUGGAACAUACACAGGUGCUGCAUGGCUGUCGUCAGCUCGUGCUGUGAAGUGUCGGGUUAAGUCCCUUAACGAGCGCAACCCCUGUCGUUAGUUGCUAGCAGGUAAUGCUGAGGACUCUAGCGAGACUGCCGGUGUUAAACCGGACGAAGGUGGGGAUGACGUCAAGUCCGCAUGGCCUUUAUGCCCAGGGCUGCACACGUGCUACAAUGGCAGAUACAGAACGAUGCAAUGUCGCAAGGCGGAGCAAAUCGCAAAAGUCUGCCCCAGUUCGGAUUGGAGGCUGCAACUCGCCUCCAUGAAGUUGGAAUCGCUAGUAAUCGCGGAUCAGCUACGCCGCGGUGAAUACGUUCCUGAGCUUUGUACACACCGCCCGU
This 1365-nucleotide ribosomal RNA is filed under the name uncultured Phycisphaeraceae bacterium. RNAcentral's name for it is "bacterial SSU rRNA". It matches the Rfam family "Bacterial small subunit ribosomal RNA". Lineage: Bacteria; Pseudomonadati; Planctomycetota; Phycisphaerae; Phycisphaerales; Phycisphaeraceae. The record is from RNAcentral.